Non-coding RNA from Nephila pilipes (giant wood spider), 164 nucleotides. The record is from the annotation of a GenBank genome assembly. NCBI's taxonomy places the organism in Eukaryota, Metazoa, Arthropoda, Arachnida, Araneae, Nephilidae.
ACUCUGAGCAGUGGACCACGCGGCUCACGGGUCGAUGAAGAACGCAGCUUGCUGCGAUAUUUGGUGUGAAUUGCAGGACACAUUGAACAUUGAACACCGAACUUUUGAACGCGCAUAGCGGCCGACGGUCUUCUGGGACUAGAGGCCUCGCCUGUCUGAGGGUC